RNAcentral lists this ribosomal RNA (1346 nucleotides) under uncultured bacterium. Its description in RNAcentral is "partial 16S ribosomal RNA". It matches the Rfam family "Bacterial small subunit ribosomal RNA", at positions 28 to 1381 of the family's 1533-position model. The record is from RNAcentral.
GACGAACGCUGGCGGCGUGCUUAACACAUGCAAGUCGAACGGAAAGGCCCUGCUUUUGUGGGGUGCUCGAGUGGCGAACGGGUGAGUAACACGUGAGUAACCUGCCCUUGACUUUGGGAUAACUUCAGGAAACUGGGGCUAAUACCGGAUAGGAGCUCCUGCUGCAUGGUGGGGGUUGGAAAGUUUCGGCGGUUGGGGAUGGACUCGCGGCUUAUCAGCUUGUUGGUGGGGUAGUGGCUUACUAAGGCUUUGACGGGUAGCCGGCCUGAGAGGGUGACCGGCCACAUUGGGACUGAGAUACGGCCCAGACUCCUACGGGAGGCAGCAGUGGGGAAUAUUGCACAAUGGGCGGAAGCCUGAUGCAGCAACGCCGCGUGCGGGAUGACGGCCUUCGGGUUGUAAACCGCUUUCGCCUGUGACGAAGCGUGAGUGACGGUAAUGGGUAAAGAAGCACCGGCUAACUACGUGCCAGCAGCCGCGGUGAUACGUAGGGUGCGAGCGUUGUCCGGAUUUAUUGGGCGUAAAGGGCUCGUAGGUGGUUGAUCGCGUCGGAAGUGUAAUCUUGGGGCUUAACCCUGAGCGUGCUUUCGAUACGGGUUGACUUGAGGAAGGUAGGGGAGAAUGGAAUUCCUGGUGGAGCGGUGGAAUGCGCAGAUAUCAGGGGGAACACCAGUGGCGAAGGCGGUUCUCUGGGCCUUUCCUGACGCUGAGGAGCGAAAGCGUGGGGAGCGAACAGGCUUAGAUACCCUGGUAGUCCACGCUGUAAACGGUGGGUACUAGGUGUGGGGUCCAUUCCACGGGUUCCGUGCCGUAGCUAACGCUUUAAGUACCCCGCCUGGGGAGUACGGCCGCAAGGCUAAAACUCAAAGGAAUUGACGGGGCCCCGCACAAGCGGCGGAGCAUGCGGAUUAAUUCGAUGCAACGCGUAGAACCUUACCUGGGUUUGACAUGGAUCGGGAGUGCUCAGAGAUGGGUGUGCCUCUUUUGGGGUCGGUUCACAGGUGGUGCAUGGCUGUCGUCAGCUCGUGUCGUGAGAUGUUGGGUUAAGUCCCGCAACGAGCGCAACCCUUGUUCACUGUUGCCAGCACGUUAUGGUGGGGACUCAGUGGAGACCGCCGGGGUCAACUCGGAGGAAGGUGGGGAUGACGUCAAGUCAUCAUGCCCCUUAUGUCCAGGGCUUCACGCAUGCUACAAUGGCUGGUACAGAGAGUGGCGAGCCUGUGAGGGUGAGCGAAUCUCGGAAAGCCGGUCUCAGUUCGGAUUGGGGUCUGCAACUCGACCUCAUGAAGUCGGAGUCGCUAGUAAUCGCAGAUCGGCAACGCUGCGGUGAAUACGUUCCCGGGGCU